RNAcentral lists this ribosomal RNA (439 nucleotides) under uncultured bacterium. Its description in RNAcentral is "partial 16S ribosomal RNA". It matches the Rfam family "Bacterial small subunit ribosomal RNA", at positions 339 to 795 of the family's 1533-position model. The record is from RNAcentral.
CUACGGGUUGCUGCAGUGGGGAAUAUUGGACAAUGGGCGCAAGCCUGAUCCAGCAAUGCCGCGUGAGUGAAGACGGCCUUAGGGUUGUAAAACUCUUUCGCUAGGGAAGAUAAUGACUGUACCUAGUAAAGAAGUCCCGGCUAACUCCGUGCCAGCAGCCGCGGUAAUACGGAGGGGACUAGCGUUGUUCGGAAUUACUGGGCGUAAAGAGUUCGUAGGCGGACUGACAAGUUAGAGGUGAAAUCCCAGGGCUCAACCCUGGAACUGCCUUUAAAACUGUCAGUCUAGAGACCGGAAGAGGUUAGGGGAAUACCUAGUGUAGAGGUGAAAUUCGUAGAUAUUAGGUGGAACACCAGUGGCGAAGGCGCCUAACUGGUCCGGUACUGACGCUGAGGUGCGAAAGCGUGGGGAGCAAACAGGAUUAGAUACCCUCGUAGUC